CAGGGAAUAUUAGUUAAUGUGCGAAAGCGCGAACUAGCAACGCCGCGUGUGCGAUGAAGGCCUUCGGGUUGUAAAGCACUUUUCCAAGGGACGAGGGAGGACGGUACCUUGGGAAUGAGCAUCGGCUAACUACGUGCCAGCAGCCGCGGUAAAACGUAGGAUGCAAGCGUUACCCGGAUUUACUGGGCGUAAAGCGCGUGUAGGCGGUUCGGUAAGUUGGAUGUGAAAGCUCCCGGCUUAACUGGGAGAGGUCGUUCAAUACUGCCGGGCUAGAGGAUGGUAGAGGAAGGUGGAAUUCCGAGUGUAGUGGUGAAAUGCGUAGAUAUUCGGAGGAACACCAGUGGCGAAAGCGGCCUUCUGGACCAUUUCUGACGCUCAUACGCGAAAGCUAGGGUAGCAAACGG
RNAcentral lists this ribosomal RNA (404 nucleotides) under uncultured bacterium. Its description in RNAcentral is "bacterial SSU rRNA". It matches the Rfam family "Bacterial small subunit ribosomal RNA", at positions 355 to 775 of the family's 1533-position model. The record is from RNAcentral.